UACGUAGGGGGCAAGCGUUGUCCGGAUUUAUUGGGCGUAAAGCGCGCGCAGGCGGCGCUUUAAGUUGGGGGUUAAAGGCAGUGGCUCAACCAUUGUACGCCUCCAAAACUGGAGCGCUUGAGUGCAGGAGAGGAAAGCGGAAUUCCCGGUGUAGCGGUGGAAUGCGUAGAGAUCGGGAGGAACACCAGUGGCGAAGGCGGCUUUCUGGCCUGUAACUGACGCUGAGGCGCGAAAGCGUGGGGAGCAAACAGG
RNAcentral lists this ribosomal RNA (252 nucleotides) under uncultured bacterium. Its description in RNAcentral is "partial 16S ribosomal RNA". It matches the Rfam family "Bacterial small subunit ribosomal RNA", at positions 524 to 776 of the family's 1533-position model. The record is from RNAcentral.